Molecule: long non-coding RNA, 293 nt
Organism: Myotis lucifugus (little brown bat)
Lineage: Eukaryota; Metazoa; Chordata; Mammalia; Chiroptera; Vespertilionidae
Exons: 3
Source: RefSeq, a predicted model, not a curated record
AGAUAUUCCCUUAGGAGAGGUAGCUCCUUCACAUUUUUAACACCUGGACCCCACUGGGACUUCACUUUGAAAAGAAAACGAAGAGCAAAAGAUGAUGAUGUCGUAAGCCUUAGCAGCCUUGAUCUGAAGAGGCUACCUCAUGAUGGCUCCUGUGUCCUUCUCCCUCCACCGCCUCCCCCAGCUUUAUUAAGAUAUUAGAGGCCCGGUGCACGAAGAUUCGUGCAAGAAUGGGCCUUCCUUCCCCUGGAUGCUGGCACCGCCUUCGCUCCGGCCAGAGCCACCUUUCUGCCUUU